GCGGGGAUGCCGGAGUGGUCAAACGGGUCGCGCUCAAGACGCGAUAGCUUAGUGCUUUCCUAGGUUCGAAUCCUGGUUCCCGCA
RNAcentral lists this transfer RNA (84 nucleotides) under Candidatus Pacearchaeota archaeon. RNAcentral's name for it is "tRNA-Leu". It matches the Rfam family "tRNA". Rfam says of the family: Transfer RNA (tRNA) molecules are approximately 80 nucleotides in length. Their secondary structure includes four short double-helical elements and three loops (D, anti-codon, and T loops). Lineage: Archaea; Nanobdellati. The record is from RNAcentral.